GACGAACGCUGGCGGCGUGCUUAACACAUGCAAGUCGAACGGUGAAGCGCCUUCCUUUUUGGUGGGUGUGGAUGAGUGGCGAACGGGUGAGUAACACGUGAGUAACCUGCCCCCUUCUUCUGGAUAACCGCAUGAAAGUGUGGCUAAUACGGGAUAUUCUGGGUCUGUCGCAUGAUGGGUCUGGGAAAGAUAUUGUUUCGGUGGGUGAUGGGCUCGCGGCCUAUCAGCUUGUUGGUGGGGUGAUGGCCUACCAAGGCGGUGACGGGUAGCCGGCCUGAGAGGGUGGACGGUCACACUGGGACUGAGACACGGCCCAGACUCCUAAGGGAGGCAGCAGUGGGGAAUAUUGCACAAUGGGCGCAAGCCUGAUGCAGCGACGCCGCGUGAGGGAUGGAGGCCUUCGGGUUGUGAACCUCUUUCGCCAGUGAAGCAGGCCUGCCUCGUUUGUGGGUGGGUUGACGGUAGCUGGAUAAGAAGCGCCGGCUAACUACGUG
RNAcentral lists this ribosomal RNA (494 nucleotides) under uncultured bacterium. Its description in RNAcentral is "partial 16S ribosomal RNA". It matches the Rfam family "Bacterial small subunit ribosomal RNA", at positions 28 to 507 of the family's 1533-position model. The record is from RNAcentral.